RNAcentral lists this ribosomal RNA (528 nucleotides) under uncultured Bacteroidota bacterium. Its description in RNAcentral is "bacterial SSU rRNA". It matches the Rfam family "Bacterial small subunit ribosomal RNA", at positions 9 to 523 of the family's 1533-position model. Lineage: Bacteria; Pseudomonadati; Bacteroidota. The record is from RNAcentral.
GAGUUUGAUCAUGGCUCAGGACGAACGCUGGCGGCAGGCUUAACACAUGCAAGUCGCACGAGAACGUUCUGGCUUUGCCAGAACCAAGUACAGUGGCGAACGGGUGCGUAACGCGUAGAUAACCUGCCUUCAGGCGCGGGACAACUACGGGAAACCGUAGCUAAUACCGCACGACGUCUGGAGCCCGCAUGGGCACCAGAUGAAACCCUGCUUUGCAGGGGCCUUUGGAUGGGUCUGCGUCGGAUUAGCUUGUUGGUGAGGUAACGGCUCACCAAGGUAACAAUCCGUAGCUGGUCUGAGAGGACGAUCAGUCACACUGGCACUGAGACACGGGCCAGACUCCUACGGGAGGCAGCAGUGGGGAAUCUUGCACAAUGGGGGCAACCCUGAUGCAGCCAUGCCGCGUGGAGGAAGACACCCCUAUGGGGCGUAAACUCCUUUUCUGAGGGAAGAAACCCCUGUAUGUUCAGGGUGUGACGGUAUCUCAGGAAUAAGCACCGGCUAACUCCGUGCCAGCAGCCGCGGUAC